AUUGAACGCUGGCGGAAUGCUUUACACAUGCAAGUCGAACGGUAGAGGGGGCAACCCCUCGAGAGGGCGAACGGGUGAGUAAUAUAUCGGAACGUGCCCAGUCGUGGGGGAUAACGUAGCGAAAGUUACGCUAAUACCGCAUACGAUCUAUGGAUGAAAGCGGGGGAUCGCAAGACCUCGCGCGAUUGGAGCGGCCGAUAUCAGAUUAGGUAGUUGGUGGGGUAAAGGCCCACCAAGCCAACGAUCUGUAGCUGGUCUGAGAGGACGACCAGCCACACUGGAACUGAGACACGGUCCAGACUCCUACGGGAGGCAGCAGUGGGGAAUUUUGGACAAUGGGCGAAAGCCUGAUCCAGCCAUUCCGCGUGCAGGAUGAAGGCCCUCGGGUUGUAAACUGCUUUUGUACAGAACGAAAAGGUUUCUACUAAUACUAGGAGCUCAUGACGGUACUGUAAGAAUAAGCACCGGCUAACUACGUGCCAGCAGCCGCGGUAA
Molecule: ribosomal RNA, 495 nt
Filed under: uncultured bacterium
Lineage: Bacteria
Description: partial 16S ribosomal RNA
Rfam family: Bacterial small subunit ribosomal RNA
Source: RNAcentral